GCUCUAGUAACGGCGAGUGAAGCAGCAAUAGCUCAAAUUUGAAAUCUGGCGUCUUCGACGUCCGAGUUGUAAUUUGUAGAGGAUGCUUCUGAGUAACCACCGACCUAAGUUCCUUGGAACAGGACGUCAUAGAGGGUGAGAAUCCCGUAUGCGGUCGGAAAGGUGCUCUAUACGUAGCUCCUUCGACGAGUCGAGUUGUUUGGGAAUGCAGCUCUAAAUGGGAGGUAAAUUUCUUCUAAAGCUAAAUAUUGGCCAGAGACCGAUAGCGCACAAGUAGAGUGAUCGAAAGAUGAAAAGCACUUUGGAAAGAGAGUUAAAAAGCACGUGAAAUUGUUAAAAGGGAAGGGAUUGCAACCAGACUUGCUCGCGGUGUUCCGCCGGUCUUCUGACCGGUCUACUCGCCGCGUUGCAGGCCAGCAUCGUCUGGUGCCGCUGGAUAAGACUUGAGGAAUGUAGCUCCCUCGGGAGUGUUAUAGCCUCUUGUGAUGCAGCGAGCGCCGGGCGAGGUCCGCGCUUCGGCUAGGAUGCUGGCGUA
RNAcentral lists this ribosomal RNA (535 nucleotides) under Cladosporium sp. RNAcentral describes it as "partial large subunit ribosomal RNA". It matches the Rfam family "Eukaryotic large subunit ribosomal RNA", at positions 77 to 633 of the family's 3401-position model. The record is from RNAcentral. Lineage: Eukaryota; Fungi; Ascomycota; Dothideomycetes; Cladosporiales; Cladosporiaceae.